RNAcentral lists this ribosomal RNA (258 nucleotides) under uncultured Glomus. RNAcentral describes it as "partial 18S ribosomal RNA". It matches the Rfam family "Eukaryotic small subunit ribosomal RNA", at positions 624 to 886 of the family's 1831-position model. The record is from RNAcentral. Lineage: Eukaryota; Fungi; Glomeromycota; Glomeromycetes; Glomerales; Glomeraceae.
AAGCUCGUAGUUGAAUUUCGUGAUCAAUAUGUCGGUCAUGCCUUCGGUACGUACUGGUAUCAUUGGUUUCUCCUUUCUGACGAACCAUGAUGUCAUUAAUUUGGUGUUAUGGGGAGUUAGGACUGUUACUUUGAAAAAAUUAGAGUGUUUAAAGCAGGCUUUAGCUUGAAUACAUUAGCAUGGAAUAAUGAAAUAGGACGUUCGAACCUAUUUUGUUGGUUUCUAGGAUCAACGUAAUGAUUAAUAGGGAUAGUUGGG